Long non-coding RNA from Oncorhynchus nerka (sockeye salmon), 3087 nucleotides. RefSeq lists it as uncharacterized. The record is from RefSeq and is a predicted model, not a curated record. NCBI's taxonomy places the organism in Eukaryota, Metazoa, Chordata, Actinopteri, Salmoniformes, Salmonidae. The transcript is spliced from 3 exons.
AGAGUGUAGACAGGAAUGCGUCUAGAGAUGACGGGAUACACACUGAAACAUGGGAAAAGAUCUCAGCUUGGAAAUGAGAGAUAAUAGUGCAGCCUCUUACUGAAAGCAUUAGAUAAGACCAUAAAGUAGCAAGAUAGUAAAAAUGAAGAAGAUGGCAUUUCGGCUAGCUUAGCCUUCUGGAGUGAAUAAUCUUUUCAAUUUUGUAAUACAUUUUUUUCUAUUCAAAAAGCUUGCUUUGAAACAUCAUCCAGACAAGAACCCAGAGAACCUGAACGCCACAGAUAAAUUCAAGGAGCUCAACAAUGCCCACUCCGUCCUGCCAGAUGCUUCCAAGAGGAACAUCUACAACAGCUAUGUCUCCCUCAGGCUCAUGCUAACAGGCUGCUACUUCUGCUGCUGCCUGUGCUGCUACUUGAACUGCUGCUGUGGGAUGUGUAAAAACCAAAGGACCCCGACACCUACAUUUUCCCUGGCAACCUGGGGGAGCAGAUCCGCACAGACAUGGAGACAGAUGCUGACGACAUCCCCAUAAUACAGCAACCAACCAAUACCAGCAAGAAGACCAGGUUGAUUGGUGACGGACGACAGGCCUAUCCCUAACACACCUGAGAGCAGACAUUAGAGGACUGGUGAUGUCAUAGGGAUUCCAGCCCUGGGUUCAAAUACAUGUGUAUUUAAGUAUUUGUUAUUUACAGUGGAUUCAGAAAGUAUUCAGACCCUUUUACUUUUUCCACAUUUUGUUACAGCAUUAUUGUGAAAUGGAUUAAAUAAAUAUUUUUCCUGCUCCAUCUACACACAAUACCCCAUAAUGACAAAGUGAAAAAAACAGGUUUUUAGAAAUGUUUGCAAAUGUAUAUAUUUUUACAAACAGAAACACCAUAUUUACAUAAGUAUUGAGACCCUUUGCUAAUAGACUUGAAAUUGAGCUCAGGUACAUACUAUUUCCAUUGAUCAUCCUUGAGAUGUUUCUACAACUUGAUUGGAGUCCACCUGUGGUAAAUUCAAUUGAUUAGACAUGAUUUGGAAAGGCACCUACCUGUCUAUAUAAGGUCCCACAGUUGACAGUGCAUGUCAGAGCAAAAACCAAGCGAUGAGGACAAGCCUUUUAUUUUUAAUAACUUUAUUUUUUUUAACAGUUUUUGCUUUAGCAUUAUGAGGUAUUGUGUGUAGAUUGAUGAGGGGAAAAAAACAAUUUCAUCCAUUUUAAAAUAAGGCUGUAAUGUAACAAAAUGUGGAAAAAGUCAAGAGGUCUGAAUACUUUCUGAAUGCACUGUAAAAACGUAUUUUCUGUGUGUUUUAGCAUUUUCAAAUAAUGUGCCCUGAAUUAACUACUUAUAUUGGAAGUAUUUUCACGUUUUUUCAAAUAAUUCCCAAAAAUAGCCUAAUAUUUGAAAUUAUUUUCAAAUAGUUAUUUAAAAUACUAUUUUCAAAUACCUGGGUUGAAUGCAUGGGAUGCAGAAGUUCCAAGUGUAUUUCCAAAUAAAUUCCAAUAUUCAAAAACUUGUCUUUUCAACAACAACAAAAAUAUAUCUAAAUACUUCCUUCCUUAAUACCCUAAAUAUUAUUUGAACCCAGGUCUAAGGGGGAUUCAUUCCGAUGUAGAUCCCAGAAGGCCUCCAUUCCACCCCUUGACUACACUUUGUAAAUUAUGAAUGAGUGUUCCUUUGUGUGCAAUGUGUUUUGUGUUUGUUAUUGUUUUGUGUUGUUUGUUAUGCAGUAUAGUAGGCAUAAGUAUGGCUGUGAAAGGAUUGAGAGAUUUAGAAUUGUGUCAUGUGACAAUAGACUUUCCUUUUUGAAAAGUUACUUCAACAUCUUUUUUUGUAAUUACAUUACGCAUCUUACAAACAUAUAGGCGUACAAAUUAUACUUAAAUUUGUUGUUAGGUCUGGUUUCACAAAUCAGGUGAGCAAAAAAAAACUCCUUCGAGCCGGAUUUGAACCAGCGACCUAAGGAUCGCUAUGUAACCUCUACAGUCCUCCGCUCUACCAACUGAGCUAUCGAAGGGAGUACAUGAAACCGUUGACUAGCGGGCUAUCUAUACGUAACAAUAUGUGUGCAUGUAUUAUUAUAUAUAUGGAUAUAUGUGGCUGGUUGGUGUCCGAGUUUACUUUCUGUAAUUAAUUACUUAGCGUCGAAUAAUAUAUGAGUAGACGACAUUUUAGCAGUCACAUAUUUAGAUUGCGAAUUAUAAAAACAAACGAGAUAUGCACAUAGCUAAAGGUAGCUAGCUACAUCUCGCUUCAAACGCAUUCAACACAUUUAACGUUACGAUUUAACGUUACGAGCUAGCGAGCAUGAGCCGUGUCAAAUAUACUGAGGCUGUGUGCAACCAUUAAUAAAAUCUAGGACAGUACUCUGUAUAUUCCUAGACUAAAACUAAACUAGCUGUAACGACGUUGGCGAAAUUUUCUAAUAAGGUUGACAUGGUGGUAAUGAACUGUUUCCUAAAUUAAAGUGUCAUAGAAGCUGUUGUUACUCUGACGACAGACUAAAAAGUCUAACUUCGAGAGGGUGGUGGAAACAUAGCACCUAACCAGCUACUCACGUUCAACGCGUCAUUCUAAAUAGCCUGAUGCAUUUAUAUGAGUCACUGCUGCCAUUGUAUAGGAAGGGGAAUUAGCUCAAAUGGUAGAGCGCUCGCUUAGCAUGCGAGAAGUAGCGGGAUCGAUGCCCGCAUUCUCCAAACCUUUUCCCGACCUUCCCAAUCAGUGUUGUUGUCUAUUUUCCAUAAAUAAACAUAGAAAUUACUUUGUAGCCAGUCAUGUGUUGCUAUGUAUUCAUAUGAAAAAUUCUGAUACAAUGUAUCUGAAUGAUUAACAUUAGAAUGUUUUGAAACAUGAACUGGAUGAACGUUCCUUCCUUGAUCUGCGAGAUACUGUACUGUUUACACUACGACAUACUGUUCAUGAUGCUGAUCAUAUAUUCUGAUACGUUUUAUAUGCGUAGAUAUUAUUUUAAAAUACCAUAAUACAUCAAAUUGGCUCAUUAUACUGCUUUUAUAUUCAAUCAUAGUGUGUAUGCCACUGUUCAUCAGACACAGGUGGAUUCUAAUUUGCAAAUGUAAUAACCACAAGCGGAUUAAACUUA